CCUACGGGGUGCAGCAGUGGGGAAUAUUGCUCAAUGGGGGAAACCCUGAUGCAGCGACGCCGCGUGCGUGAAGAAGUAUCUCGGUAUGUAAAGCUCUAUCAGUAGGGAAGAAAAUGAUGGUACUUGACGAAGAAGCCCCGGCUAACGACGUGACAGCAGCGGCGGUACUACGUAGGGGGCAACCGUUAUCCGGAUUUACUGGGUGUAAAGGGAGAGUAGAAGGUAGAACAAGUCUGGAGUGAAAUGCCGGGGCUUAACCCCGGAACGGGUGUGGAAACUGUGAGGCUGGAGUGCAGGAGGGGUAGGCGGAAUUCCGAGUGUAGCGGUGAAAUGCGGAGAUAUUAGGAGGAACACCGGUGGCGAAGGCGGCUUACUGGACUGUAACUGACGUUGAGGCUCGAAAGCGUGGGGAGCAAACAGGAUUAGAUACCCCAGUAGUC
This 440-nucleotide ribosomal RNA is filed under the name uncultured bacterium. Its description in RNAcentral is "partial 16S ribosomal RNA". It matches the Rfam family "Bacterial small subunit ribosomal RNA", at positions 338 to 795 of the family's 1533-position model. The record is from RNAcentral.